UACGUAGGGUGCAAGCGUUAAUCGGAAUUACUGGGCGUAAAGCGUGCGCAGGCGGUUGUGCAAGACCGAUGUGAAAUCCCCGGGCUUAACCUGGGAACUGCGUUUGAAACUACAAGGCUAGAGUGUGGCAGAGGGGGGUGGAAUUCCACGUGUAGCAGUGAAAUGCGUAGAGAUGUGGAGGAACACCGAUGGCGAAGGCAGCCCCCUGGGUUAACACUGACGCUCAGGCACGAAAGCGUGGGGAGCAAACAGG
RNAcentral lists this ribosomal RNA (253 nucleotides) under uncultured bacterium. Its description in RNAcentral is "partial 16S ribosomal RNA". It matches the Rfam family "Bacterial small subunit ribosomal RNA", at positions 524 to 776 of the family's 1533-position model. The record is from RNAcentral.